Molecule: transfer RNA, 88 nt
Filed under: Polyplosphaeria fusca
Lineage: Eukaryota; Fungi; Ascomycota; Dothideomycetes; Pleosporales; Tetraplosphaeriaceae
Rfam family: tRNA
About the family: Transfer RNA (tRNA) molecules are approximately 80 nucleotides in length. Their secondary structure includes four short double-helical elements and three loops (D, anti-codon, and T loops).
Source: Rfam by way of RNAcentral
UCUUCCUUGGUCUAGUGGUCAUGAUUUCCGCUUGUCAUCUCAUCGAUCACAAGCGCGGGAGACCGGGGUUCGAUUCCCCGAGGGAGAG